Molecule: non-coding RNA, 470 nt
Organism: Rattus norvegicus (Norway rat)
Lineage: Eukaryota; Metazoa; Chordata; Mammalia; Rodentia; Muridae
Source: RefSeq, a predicted model, not a curated record
UGCGUUUCCUAGAGCUGCUUGUCAGGUGCUUGUCAGCCAGUGGCUGGAGGAAUGGCUACCAAGGCUUCAGAUAGAAAAACGAAAGAGAGCAACGGGUACCUGAACUCAAGAGGAAAUCAGAAGAGAAAGGGUGAUAGGCUAUCAGAGGGAUGGAAGAGCUGCUGAGGAAAAAGCAGAAAACAAAAGAAAGAGGUCAGUUUUCUGUUUUUCUGUAGUGGGGAGGGAUCUAGGCCCUCGAGCAGGCUGCUCGUGCGCUGAACUGAGUCCCGUCCUCAGGCCUGUUUUUCAGUUCUAAUGGACAACCUUCAUUGUGAUUCUUUUCUGGGACACCCCAUAUUCUAGGAACUCAAGAAUCCUCAAGAGUCUUUUUCAGAAAUAGAUUUCCCAUUCCCAGGACUUCAGGUAGUCUUGUGAAUUAUAGUGGCAGCUUUUUUUUUUUUUUUUUUUUUUUUAACUAAAGGAAUCCCUCC